UACGUAGGGUGCGAGCGUUAAUCGGAAUUACUGGGCGUAAAGCGUGCGCAGGCGGUUUUGUAAGCCAGAUUUGAAAUCCCCGGGCUCAACCUGGGAAUGGCAUUUGGGACUGCAAGGCUUGAGUGCGGCAGAGGAGACUGGAAUUCCUGGUGUAGCAGUGAAAUGCGUAGAUAUCAGGAGGAAUACCGAUGGCGAAGGCAGGUCUCUGGGCUGACACUGACGCUCAUGCACGAAAGCGUGGGGAGCAAACAGG
This 253-nucleotide ribosomal RNA is filed under the name uncultured bacterium. RNAcentral describes it as "partial 16S ribosomal RNA". It matches the Rfam family "Bacterial small subunit ribosomal RNA", at positions 524 to 776 of the family's 1533-position model. The record is from RNAcentral.